Molecule: long non-coding RNA, 473 nt
Filed under: Homo sapiens (human)
Lineage: Eukaryota; Metazoa; Chordata; Mammalia; Primates; Hominidae
Description: HSALNT0105340
Source: RNAcentral
GAAAACCUGACUCUACUAAAAGUACAAAAAUUAGCUGGGUGUGGUGGCUCAUGCCUGUAAUCCCAGCUACUUGAGAGGCUGAGGUGGGAGAAUCGCUUGAACCCGGGAGGCAGAGAUUGCGCCACUGCACUCCAGUCUGGGAGACAAAGCGAGACUCCACAAGAAAAAAAAAAGAAAAAAAGAAAAGAAAAAAAAAAAGAAUGGAUACCAACCCUACACAGCCUCUUGCAAAAAUUGAAGAGGAUCCACUUCCUAACACAUUCUAUUAGGCCAGCAUUACCUUGAUACCAAAGCCAGAGAAAGAGUCCACAAGAAAUUGAUAGACCAAUAUUCCUUAUGAAUAUAGAUAUAAAAAUCCUCAACAAGCACCUAUAGUCCUAGCCACUCAGGAGGCUGAGGCAGCAGAAUCCCUUGAGCCCAGAAGUUCAAGGCUGCAGUGAGCUGGAGUGCAGUGGGAUUAUGUAGUAUUGAGA